CAGCAGCCGCGGUAAUACAGAGGGUGCGAGCGUUAAUCGGAUUUACUGGGCGUAAAGCGUGCGUAGGCGGCUAAUUGAGUCGGAUGUGAAAUCCCCGAGCUUAACUUGGGAAUUGCAUUCGAUACUGGUUAGCUAGAGUGUGGGAGAGGAUGGUAGAAUUCCAGGUGUAGCGGUGAAAUGCGUAGAGAUCUGGAGGAAUACCGAUGGCGAAGGCAGCCAUCUGGCCUAACACUGACGCUGAGGUACGAAAGCAUGGGGAGCAAAUGGGAUUAGAUACCCCCGUAGUCCCUGUCUCUUAUAC
RNAcentral lists this ribosomal RNA (301 nucleotides) under uncultured bacterium. RNAcentral's name for it is "partial 16S ribosomal RNA". It matches the Rfam family "Bacterial small subunit ribosomal RNA", at positions 509 to 807 of the family's 1533-position model. The record is from RNAcentral.